This 1902-nucleotide long non-coding RNA is filed under the name Theobroma cacao (cacao). Its description in RNAcentral is "long non-coding RNA (TCAC_LNC000395)". The record is from RNAcentral. Lineage: Eukaryota; Viridiplantae; Streptophyta; Magnoliopsida; Malvales; Malvaceae.
AACAACUCACAAAACCCAAUCAUACAUUCAUAAUGGCAUCAACAACCAUUAUAUACAUAUAUAGAUUAACAAAUGAAUCUUAACAUUUCACAUCAAGUAUUCAUAUACACCUAAUUGGACCUUGACCAUCAGCGGAGUGACUCUGGGCAAGGUUGCUAACAUCUAAUGUCAUGGUAAACCUACCGAGCAAUGGAUGGGGAGGAACACCUCAUCCUAGGAUCCAAUCACCUUUGACUCAGAAGAAAAAACCUAAAACAUGAAGUUUAAAAACAUGAGUAUAAACUCAGUGAGUGAACAUAGGAAGGGAACAAGCAACGUUAAGGAAAGUUUAGAAAUCAUGAUGCAUUUAAGUUUGAAAACAAUGCAACUUAGUUCAAGUUCUUAUUAAAAAUACCUCCAUUUAACCCCUAGUUAUUAAAUCCUUUAAUGAUGAAGGAACCAUAUUCAACAUGAAAUUGGAAAUAAAGGAAAUUUCCAGCAAUCAUCCAAGCAAGGCAGUAUAAACAGAAUGUUUCUCGCUGUAAUAAAAUGAAUUCACAAGUAAAUGGGAAGUUUUCAAGAUUCAUCAUGCCAUAUAAUCACAUAUUAUAAUCAUGAUCUUUCUAUUGCAUAUACAUAUACUUAAGCAUAUAUCAAUUAGUAUACCACCACAUCUCAUCCAGCUCAUGUGCAUCCCCCCACAUCGUGCACAUAGCUAAACACCCCAUCUCACCCAGCUCAUGUGCAUCCCCCCACAUCGUGUACAUAGUUGGACACCCCAUCUCACCUAGCUCAUGUGCAUCCCCCCACAUCGUGCACAUAGCCAGAGUCAUCGUGUCUCACCCAGCUCAUGUGCAUCCCCCCACAUCAUGCACAUAGUCGGAGUCAUCGUAUGCAUCCCCCUACAUCGUGCACAGAUAAUGCCAUCAUGUACAUCCCCCCACAUCAUGCACACGAGCAGUAUCACCAUCCAUCUCUCUCACCACCGUCAUCACCGGCAAGUGCACACUCACCCCGCACAUGCACGAUUGCAUUUGUCAUACAAUGGUACCAUUUAUGACAUAGUAUAUACAUAUCAACAUUAUACAGAAACAUAUGAAUUCAUCACACUAUCCAUUUCAUAACAUAAAAACAUUUCAUAAAGGUUUGUUCCCAUGCAAGCUUUUGAAGAAAAACCAAUAAAACGUUUUAGGAGAUUCAAUCAAACAUAAAUGUGUAUAUCGCAAAACAUUUUAAUGCAAGUUCACUCACUUGGCAAAAUUAACAUUGACAAGGUUCUAAUCCAAGUAGUCCCGAAAUACCAUCAAAACCUAUAUUUAUCAAUAACCAAUAACAACCUCAAGUAAGUCAUAAAUUUAAAUCUAAUAAUUUUAAUAAAUUUACACUAGGUAAUCUACCCUCUAACCAAACAUUUAACUUAAAUUUCUAGUCUAAUUCUCAAACCCAUCAUACCAACUAUUUCCAAAUGUAAAGAUUCUUUACCUUGGUGAGCUCGGAGGCAUGAAAAUCAAUGGAAAACCUAAUCUUUCCAAGAAAAAUGAUUUGAAGAAAUUAGGAAAUAAAUCUGAAAAUAUAACCAUAAAUUCAAAAAUUUCAAAAGUUGGAAAUAUAUACCUUUCAACCUUGAAAAUGAAGAUUUGAAGCCAAAAAUCUAAGUGUUGUUGAAAGUGAAGUAGAAAUAGAAAAUAAAGGAAAGAAAGAGAGAUUUUUCUUUCUCUCUCCUUGGGUUUAGAAGUGCUGGAAAUUGGGGUUAGAAGUUGUAACUUUGGUGCACAAGGAGUUGGGAGAAGAAAAAAGCAAAAAAAGAAAGGAAAUGAAAAGAAAACAACGAAAGAAAAUGAAAGAAAAUUAACUUUCCAUGGAAGAAUGAGAGAAUGGUGUUGGAAGCUUCAAGAAUGAAGAAGAAACAUCUUGCUGGAGGAG